This 375-nucleotide ribosomal RNA is filed under the name Acinetobacter baumannii. RNAcentral describes it as "bacterial SSU rRNA". It matches the Rfam family "Bacterial small subunit ribosomal RNA", at positions 1 to 376 of the family's 1533-position model. Lineage: Bacteria; Pseudomonadati; Pseudomonadota; Gammaproteobacteria; Moraxellales; Moraxellaceae. The record is from RNAcentral.
UUUAACUGAAGAGUUUGAUCAUGGCUCAGAUUGAACGCUGGCGGCAGGCUUAACACAUGCAAGUCGAGCGGGGGAAGGUAGCUUGCUACUGGACCUAGCGGCGGACGGGUGAGUAAUGCUUAGGAAUCUGCCUAUUAGUGGGGGACAACAUCUCGAAAGGGAUGCUAAUACCGCAUACGUCCUACGGGAGAAAGCAGGGGAUCUUCGGACCUUGCGCUAAUAGAUGAGCCUAAGUCGGAUUAGCUAGUUGGUGGGGUAAAGGCCUACCAAGGCGACGAUCUGUAGCGGGUCUGAGAGGAUGAUCCGCCACACUGGGACUGAGACACGGCCCAGACUCCUACGGGAGGCAGCAGUGGGGAAUAUUGGACAAUGGGG